RNAcentral lists this small RNA (547 nucleotides) under Pan troglodytes (chimpanzee). Its description in RNAcentral is "retained intron". Lineage: Eukaryota; Metazoa; Chordata; Mammalia; Primates; Hominidae. The record is from RNAcentral.
AUUUUCUAGCCAGGGAGAAACUCAUCUGGAGUGAAUUUCGUGAGUGUCUCCUUUUGGUGGCAGGUUUCUGUGAGUUGUGAAGUGUGUAGUGCAGUCUCUUCCUUCCUGACACACACAUUUUUGGUUCAUAUGACACUUUUCAUAGUGCUGUAUAACUUAGGCCAUUUUCCUGUUGGCCAAGCUUUCUUAGAUUUUUCUUCUUUUUGUUUUUCCAUUAACUAAGCUUUGAUUUUUCUUCUUUGCAGGGUGGCAAUUUUAAGCCCAGCCAGAAAGGUUUUGCAGGAGGAACCAAAUCUUUCAUGGACUUCGGCAGCUGGGAAAGACACACAAAAGGAAUUGGACAGAAGCUUCUUCAGAAGAUGGGCUACGUCCCUGGACGGGGCCUCGGGAAGAAUGCACAAGGUAUCAUUAACCCAAUUGAAGCCAAGCAGAGAAAGGGAAAAGGUGCUGUGGGGGCUUAUGGAUCCGAGCGCACCACUCAGUCCAUGCAAGACUUCCCUGUGGUUGACUCAGAGGAAGAAGCUGAAGAGGAGUUUCAGAAGGAGCU